GACGAACGCUGGCGGCGCGCCUAACACAUGCCAGUCGAACGAGCGAGAGAGAGCUUGCUUUCUCGAGCGAGUGGCGAACGGGUGAGUAACGCGUGAGGAACCUGCCUCAAAGGGGGUGACAACAGGUGGAAACGACUGCUAAUACCGCAUAAGCCCACGACCCGGCAUCGGGUAGAGGGAAAAGGAGCAAUCCGCUUUGAGAUGGCCUCGCGUCCGAUUAGCUAGUUGGUGAGGUAACGGCCCACCAAGGCGACGAUCGGUAGCCGGACUGAGAGGUUGAACGGCCACAUUGGGACUGAGACACGGCCCAGAAUCCUACGGGAGGCAGCAGUGGGGAAUAUUGCACAAUGGGGGAAACCAUGAUGCAGCGACGCCGCGUGGAGGAAGAAGGUAUUCGGAUUGUAACCUCCUGUUGUUGAGGAAGAUAAUGACGGUACUCAAAAAGGAAGUGACGGCUAACUACGUG
Molecule: ribosomal RNA, 466 nt
Filed under: uncultured bacterium
Lineage: Bacteria
Description: partial 16S ribosomal RNA
Rfam family: Bacterial small subunit ribosomal RNA
Source: RNAcentral